GCGGUGUGGCCCACCCGAUUUUCUAAUCAGGUUGAGCCACACAUGAUGCACAGGUUUAAUGGAAGAUACACACUGAUCUACGGUUAGCGUUCCAUCACCAUUGUUCCCUAUGGUGUAGCCCACCUGAGUUGCCAUCUGGAUAAUUCUGGGUCCAAUGACCUGAUGGACGGUGUGGAUGCCACACAAACAACAUGAUCGGCCACGCAGCUUGGGUGUUUUAAGCUGGUAUUGUAGAGGAUUAUCAUCAAUCUGUGUGUAGCGCAACCCAUGUAAAUACUGCUUCAUGCAGCACAAGGCAGGGAAGAGAUCCACACCAUUUGUCCCAUGGGUCCCACUCGAGCGUGCGGCAGCACAUGAAGUUUUGCAAGCCACAUAGGCAUACUGGAUGAAAAUGUACACGUGGAAUUGGCAGCGUGGUAGAAGAUGUGAGAUCCAAACCGUCCACAAGGUAGGUGGCACCGUUCAAGAAGUUUCUCCGAAUAAAUCAAACUGGUACAGUCAUCAGAUGACACAAACUCUUGUGUAAUUAAUAGAUGGACAGGAACAAUCCACUCAAGUACAUGUGUGCGUCACACGCAAGUUCCUCCCAUUGUGGCGAACGGGAAGGGCCAGUGAGAUUGAAUUGCAUUGGGUCCAUUAUGUAUUUCUGGUGAAUUUUAAAAUUUACUGUACAUAUGGGCUUCGCAUUGACGCGUAUGAUUUAUCCACGUUGUGCCUUCGUAUA
Molecule: long non-coding RNA, 724 nt
Organism: Magnolia sinica
Lineage: Eukaryota; Viridiplantae; Streptophyta; Magnoliopsida; Magnoliales; Magnoliaceae
Exons: 2
Source: RefSeq, a predicted model, not a curated record